This 360-nucleotide ribosomal RNA is filed under the name uncultured Ascomycota. RNAcentral describes it as "eukaryotic LSU rRNA". The stretch from base 1 to 142 matches the Rfam family "5.8S ribosomal RNA". Lineage: Eukaryota; Fungi; Ascomycota. The record is from RNAcentral.
GAUUUAUUUUUUCUGGCAUUGAUGAAAAACGCAGAGAAAUGCAAGAUAUUAGUGAUAAUUACAGAAUUUUCAUGAAUCAUGGAAUCUUUGAACGCACAUUGCGCCCUUUGGUAUUCUUUAGGGCAUACCUGUUCGAGAGUCAUUCAAACCCCCAAGCUCUGUUUGGGGUUGGGGGCCUGUCCCGCCGCCGGCGCGGACAAACCUAGAGGCCGUUGGCGGUGGUUUCCCGAUCGGAAGCGCAGCAGCCUGCGCCAGGUAAGCGUCGGGUCUCGUCCAGGAACCCAUACUCCAAAGGUUGACCUCGGAUCAGGUAGGGAUACCCGCUGAACUUAAGCAUAUCAAUUAGCGAGGAAAAGAAAC